AAUAUUCUCAUUAAAUCCCCUGAUGAGUGGGCAACCACGAAACAGACCUGUAGGGAAACCUAUGUAGUUUGUAUUUUUCUCAAACUAACACAAUUAAAUAUAUAUAUAUCUUUGGAUUAAUUUCAAUGCAAUAUAUUAGUUCCAGGAAAACAAGGAGUUAAGACCAAGAAGACCACUGCUGUUAAAGAACCAUCUUCAGAAUUGACUUGAAAUGCGGAGGCAUUCUCUAUCAUGGCGAAUAAUGACGACACUGAUGACGAAGCCCUAACUGCCAUGCUAUCAGCCUUGGCUGACGCCCAGACGAUUCCCAUGUUGUCACCCAUAAAGCCGCCCCGGAAACGGCCCGCUGAAGCAAUUCCCGAGCCACAGAACAAACGACCCAAACCCAGCAACUUGUGCAGCCUGUUGCUUUUUUCCGCUAGGAUCUUGUUAAAAAGAUUUGUAGUGAGCACUUCACGACGCUCACUCAGUCUAACAAAUCUCAAGCCUUCCUGAUCACCUAUGUACUGGGGCACUGGUCAGUGUCACGACAGGAAGACCCAAGUAUGGCAGCAGUGGAAGAGACCAAGACAAUGGUAUUGCCACUUUAGCGAGAAAGUGUUGUGGUGAAGGUGAUUCUGCCCUUUUUUUCUACCUUCAGCCAUUGCAACCAUCUUACAAGAAGGACGACACUGCAUCAUGGUUUCCAUGGACAGAAAAGGAGCUACUACGUAGCAGAGUUUUUGCUAAUUUAGAAGAUUUAGAAGAGAAUGUAGAUGAAGGAGGCAGAACUGAUUAAUAUAACCAGUAAAUUUAAGAAACUAAAGGGUGAACAGAUUCUUAUCUUUCUUUCUAUUCUUAUGUUCAAAUGUUUUGGAUAUUCCGAGCGAAAAUAGGGCUACCUUUGACUAAUAAUCUAAUGCAACCUUUCUUGUAUUUAUUGAUAAUUUAUUUUUUUAAAGAAUAAGUAGCAGGACACGAGGGCCAGAAAUUCCGUGCUCGUGGCUUUUCGUCGGCCAGGGGGACUAGUGGGCCAGAAAUUCCAUGCUCAUGACUGUUCGUGAGCCAGAAAUUCCGUGCUCGUGGCAUGACUAGUGGGCCAGAAAUUCCGUGCACGUGGCAUGACUAGUGGGCCAGAAAUUUCGUGCUUGUGACAUGACUAUAGUGGGCCAGAUGUUCCGUGCUCAUGGCAUGACUAGUGGGCCAGAAAUUCUGUACUCGUUGAAUAAAUAUUGGUCCAGAAAUUCCGUGCCCAUGGCAUGACUGUAUUGGGCUAGAAAUUCUUUGCUAUAGGCAUGACGAGUGGGCCAGAAAUUCUGUGGUCGUUGGCCCGCGGUGGUCCAAGUGGCACAGAGAAAUGCGACCAUAUACAGUAACCACAGAAUGCAAAAUGCAAAAUGCAAAAUGAGAAUAAUUCAAAAUAUUUAAGAAUGUGUUAUAGGUGUGUCUGAUUUCAUGAAUCCUGGAAUUCAAACAGGCAUCAUGAUCCUUCAGAUUCCGCUGUAAUCCAUAAGUUUCUUUAGUACGACAUUGUGCUCUUUGAUGUCGUGAUUCAAGCGGCGACUAUCACUAAGCUUCAGCUGGUAUUCAAAGUUUAAAAUAUCGCUCGCACAUGCUUUGCACCCAUCGGCUUACAUAAUUAUUUUCUUCUCCAACACCAUCAAGUCAUAUUGUCGGGAUCAUCAUGUAAUAUUUUGAUCUUUCUCCAGUCGGAUUGGCAAUAUAUCCGAGACGCAGACUUUGAAGCUUCUCAACUAAAAAAACUAAAUUAAAAGAGAAGAGAAACCAGGAUUGUGAAACAUAUGGGAAACAGACGAGGUGCAGUUGAAAUAGUUUGUGGUUGGUGGAAAGGGGAGGGGGCAAGUGAAAAAAUACAUGGCAUUGGGGAGAGGUCACUCAGAUAAAUACAUAGAUUGUGGGGUAGGUCACCAAAAAGAUGGGCUUCUAAAAUGUCCUUGAAUAGAAUUCCUUGCACAUAUCCUUUUCGCUAAGAAACAAGUCAUGCUAUUGUCCAGGAAAAAGACAAUAGUUGUAAGUUCUACGUGGGUCCCACGGGUCUCUUCGGAACAGCAAACCUUUUUUGCCAGAGAAUACUCCUAGGACUUGUUUAUAUUGCAAAACUAAAACUUAAAACAAAAUGCCUGAAACAAGUGAAAAUAUAACAGAAAAGUGCCCUAGUUGCGUCGCUUGUCGGUAUUGCGAAAGUCAAAUCAAUUAUUAAUUAUAGGUCAAAGAAAUUAGUUGUAAGUUCUACGUGGCUCCCAUGGGUCAAUAGGGAGACACAGAUAUAAAAGUAGGAAAAAACAGGAAGAGACAGAGCAGACGACCCUGUGGGAGUUCAACUAGGAGCGAAUAAAGUAAGCACAAACAA
Nematostella vectensis (starlet sea anemone) is the source of this 2350-nucleotide long non-coding RNA. RefSeq lists it as uncharacterized. The transcript is spliced from 3 exons. The record is from RefSeq and is a predicted model, not a curated record. NCBI's taxonomy places the organism in Eukaryota, Metazoa, Cnidaria, Anthozoa, Actiniaria, Edwardsiidae.